RNAcentral lists this unclassified non-coding RNA (329 nucleotides) under soil metagenome. RNAcentral's name for it is "partial contains 5.8S ribosomal RNA, internal transcribed spacer 2, and large subunit ribosomal RNA". The stretch from base 1 to 120 matches the Rfam family "5.8S ribosomal RNA", at positions 35 to 154 of the family's 154-position model. The record is from RNAcentral.
GAUGAAGAACGCAGCGAAAUGCGAUAAGUAAUGUGAAUUGCAGAAUUCAGUGAAUCAUCGAAUCUUUGAACGCACAUUGCGCCCCCUGGUAUUCCGGGGGGCAUGCCUGUCCGAGCGUCAUUACAACCCUCAAGCUCAGCUUGGUGUUGGGCCCCGCCGCCCCGGCGGGCCCUAAAGUCAGUGGCGGUGCCGUCCGGCUCCGAGCGUAGUAAUUCUUCUCGCUCUGGAGGUCCGGUCGUGUGCUCGCGAGCAACCCCCAAUUUUUUUCAGGUUGACCUCGGAUCAGGUAGGGAUACCCGCUGAACUUAAGCAUAUCAAUAAGCGGAGGA